Long non-coding RNA from Marmota monax (woodchuck), 5183 nucleotides. RefSeq lists it as uncharacterized. The transcript has 2 exons. Lineage: Eukaryota; Metazoa; Chordata; Mammalia; Rodentia; Sciuridae. The record is from RefSeq and is a predicted model, not a curated record.
UCCGGCCUCAUUGCCCCGGAACCAGGAUUUUCCUCCUGGACGAGGAAGACGCAAACAACUCUACGAGGUUUUUCUUCCCAGCAUUCUUCUUUGUUUUUAAUCUUUCAGUAUUUUCUUUUUUUAAGAGAUGAAGUCAACUUUCUGGAGGUUGAGGUGUCGGUCUCCAGAAUGUAGUCCCCGGAGGAACGCACGCUCUCGCGGCCUCAAGGGGUGGACAGAGUCUUGGCAAAGGGGGCCCUCGGAGGAUCUACGCCGUUAGCGGAGCUAAGUCCGCGGCUUCUAGGGCAGGAGGGGAGGAGCCUGGAAAGGCAGAGGAAACCGCUGGUUCAGACGCCGGUUCAACGACCGGCGUGGGACCCCCGAGUAGCUGGGGCGGGGUCACCAAGAGGAGACCCGGUGGGAGAGGGCGUGGCGAGCAGGUCGGGCGGGGACUUGUGGGCUCUCCUACUGGGGAGAAAGCGAGAGGCUCUGAGCGUGGGCCGCGGCGCGAGAGGGAGGUACCACGACUUAAUACUUCUGACUGGCCCGACGCGGGGGCGAGUGCAGAGAAGCGGAAAGGCCGGUGAGGAAAGGGGGAUUGCGUUCUCCCAGGAAAGAGAUAGUGAGCGCUUGGGCCCGGGGUUGUGGCAGUGCAGGGGGUGCGCAGUGGCCAGAUUCUGGUUGUAUUUUGAAAGUAGAGCCGCCGGCAUUUGCGGACAAUCGGGGAACAUAUGGGUGUGAAAGAGAAGAGUGGACGGUGACUCCAGCGGUUCUGGCCAGAGCUACUGGAAGGAAGGACACGGUUGUCAUAUUCUGAGUUGGGCGAGGACCAAGUUUGUCGAGGAGGCUGGAGGUGGAGGCGGAGCGAGAAUAAGUAUCCUGCAGUCUUCAAAGAAAGUGCCGGUUGUGAAAGACGGCGCAAAGGCAGAAGGGCACGGAACGAGAAUUGGCAACUAAAUGCAGCAAGGGAUUCCAGACUGGGUCCUGGGCCCGGAAAACAAAUCUCUCUAAAGGACGCUUUGGGAUAGCUGAAGAAAUCUGAACUUGGGAGUGUAGCUUAUAGUAUGGUGUUCAUGUCAAACUUCCAGAUGGCCAUGUUCCCAGGAAACACACACUUAAGUUUAUCUGGGGGGUGAAGGGACAUUGCAUGUGCAACCUACAAGUGGUUCAAUAAAGAAAAAUAUAUGGGUGGGUGUGUGUGCGUGGGUGUGUGUUUGGGGGGAGAAUAUUAUAAAAGGAGAGAGUUAUAAAGCAAAAUGUGGCCCUGUUGACGGUUGGCAGACCUGGGUAAAGGGUACGGAGAAAUUCUCUGUAUAACUCUUGUAACUUCCGUGUGUGUGUGUGUGUGUGUGUGUGUGUGUGUGUGUGUUUUGAAUGGGAGAUUGAACGGGGGCGGGGCGGGUCGCUUUACCAAUGAGCCAUAUCCCCAGCCCUUUGUUGAGACAGGGUUUCACUGAGUUACUUAGAGCCUCGCUCAAAUGCUGAGAAUGACCUGGAACUUGCUGUCCUCCUGCCUCAGCUUCCUGAGCCGCUGGGAUUACAGGAAUGCGCCACCACACCCCGCCAAGUGUGAAGUUAUUUUAAGAUUAUUUCAAUAAUGUAGAGAGAGGAUGAGAGGAAAGUUGGGAGGGAAAAAUAUAGACGACUGUUUGUGUUAUGGGCCAGGCUACAUGGGAAUGACCAAACAGACUUCAUUUUACUCUGAGACUCAUGUCAUAUAAGAAAUGCUUGUCCCAUGGGAAAGCCCCGCCCUCUGUACCCAUCAACAGUUAGUUUAGCAUGUUUGGCAACACAAAAUGGCAAUUCCUAUACAAUGUAAAAUUUUUCUCUCUUUGGUUCCCAUUUUGCUUGGACAAUGUACCCUCUCAGAGAAUGAUUGCUCAGCCGUUAGUAACCAUUCUUUAACUUGUACUCAACUAGGGUGGUUUUGACCCACUUCCCCUUCUCCUUAUGAUUUUGGAUCCCAUGACAUUUGUUUGUGGUUUUGAAUCAUAGCAACAGCCACUUAUGAUUAAUAUGGUUUUGGACUAUAAAAGGUGUACUCAAACCCCAGGAGGGGGUCGAAGGGUGUGGACUUGCAGCCUGGCCCUUGGCCUGCCAGCUGGUGGGUCCGGACUGCCGGCUGGUGAAUACAGAUGGUUCCGUCUCCUGCUUUUCGGUGAUUUAUUGCAACCUCGCCAUAACAUUUGGAGGAAUUUUCCUGCAAAAAGAGAAAUGGGGUGGUAGCUAGAGGGUGAAGUAGGUAGAGUUUAUGUUAAGGAGGAAAGAAAUAAUACAACUUACAUCCUGGUGGAAGAAGUCCAAUCCAGAAGCGAAUAUCGAUGAGGAGGGAGAAGAGAGUAGGAGAGAGUUGCCAGUGGCAAGGAGGGGUGCCCAGGUGCAGGGCAGGCCUUUGCCAGGAGCUGUGGCGGCUCAUCUGCAGCACCUGGGGGUGGGAGUGGGGUCACAGAUUUAAGAGGUGGGUGGAUACGUCCUGGGAACUCCUGGAAGCCUCCUGAUUGUAUCUGCAGGAUUUCCUCCUUGGGAAGCAAGGUAGUCAGUCAGCUGAGAGGGGGGCAGGUUGGAGAGGAAAGUAAGAAACAGAUGUCUGGAAAAGUGGAAGAUGAAUGGAGUAGGGAAGAAGAAGAUGAGUUAGCUGCUCUGCUCUGAGGGCAAAGUUACUCACCCCUUCUUCAACCUCCAGGGUGCGCGGGAUCCAGGGUUAUAGUUGUUCUUUGUUGUGGAUUGAAUGUUGAUGUCCUGCCCCCAGCCCCAACACCCAUUCCUGUGUAAAGGCCUAAACCCCCACUGGGGCUGUGUUUGGAUCUGGGGCCUCUGUGUAAGAAAGCGAUUAAGGAUAAAUGAGGUCAUAAGGGUGGGACCCUCAUCCAGUAGGAUUCCUGUGUUUAUAUGACAUCACAGGAAAGGGGCAAGGGAGCUGAGAAAAUAUGCAAAGAAAUUAAUCCAGGUAAAUGGAGAUGGAGGGACCCUGGGGGCAGGGGAAGGGGAGGCAGAGGAAGAAUAGUGAAAGGUGGCAACUGGAAGGUGGUUAGAGAGUGUCAUACUAGAAGUGGACAAGGUUUAUAGCAGUUGUUAAGGACAAGAUCCAGAGCCAGACCACGGGAGUGGUUGGCAGGGGUAGGCCCAACAUCCAGCAAAGGUGUUGGAGAGAUAUUUGAUAGACAAAAAAUAGGAAAGAGUGGCUCUGGCCUGAUCAAGGAGCAACAGUAGGCAGGUACCUGGGAUAGGCUCGAGUGGUUGCUGAACAGGGAAAUGGAGGAACACGGGCUCAGGAGCCCAAUCGCCCCUCAAAAGAAAGAAAAGAAGAAGCGGAAAAAGCAAAGAAGCAAGAAACGCACAGAGAAGAAAAUAAGCAGUAAAGAGAAUAAACAAAAGGGAAGACAGACCUAGAAAGGCAAAGUUCACUUAAACUGCUUUUGAACACUUCAUGGGUGAGGAGUACACCGUUCCUGGAAGUACUGCAAUACCAGGUCGAUGCGUGGAGUGGACGGAGCAAGCUCCUAUUCCAACUCCCUACUCCAAAAAUCCAUUUAAUAUACUGUCCUCAGAUAGAGGACGUAUCAGAUAUUAAACUGAUAAGAACAGAUACUACACUUGAUCUUAGCCAAAAGGCCGAGAAGCGAUGCUGUCCCACUCGCCCCUCGCCCUCACCGUCCUCCGCUGGCUCACUUUUAACUCGCGGUGAGCACCACGAUGCCUACUCCUACUCUCUUUUUCCUGGUGUCUCCUUGGGCAUCCCAUCGGGCCUACUAGACCUUCGUGAAGGUUCCCGAUUGGCCCCUUAGAUCGAGGAAUUUUAGCUGCCCUUGGCGGCUCUGGCGUUCAGGGGCGGGGGCGCCCUCCAAUACUUUGCAUGUCCCCGCCCCCUCACCGGAAAGGCGUGGCUACCGUGGGUCCCUUCCACCUGGCGACCGCUUCCAGGUCUCCAGGCAGCCCAGGGCGGGCUCUGCUCCCACUUCCAGACAUACCGAGACCAGAGAGGACCAGCGACUGCCGCUGACUCCGAGUCCAAGUCGGAGCCAGGAGCUCCGGAAAGCCAGAACUCGGUUUUGUUCCACGCACCUACUUCACACUCAAUCAGUAACUCUUCAGUGAAUGAGAUCGUGCCUCCCACACGCUCGGCCAAACCCCGACAAAUCGAGCUUGGGAUGGCUCCUUCUCAGUACUUCCCUGCUUCUUCAGGCCAUCUGCCCAAUGAUUCGCGUCCCCGUGUGCUUUCAUCCCGAGAAGGGGACGUCGCGGCUCCCCUUCACUGGAAUGGAACGCUUCCCGCCUCAAAUGAUUGACCUUUCGGUUUUCUCCUUGUGAUUCACUCCCGUGGAGUUUGCUCAGAUCCACGUGCACUCAAUGGGCUGGGCCCUGGUCGCGCUGUGUGCAGAGGUUGGCCGGAUGUCCUUGUGCUUUUAAUGAAAGCGCACCGCGGUGUCCUGGUGAUCCCGACCACCCUCGCUGCACCUGAACCUUGAAUUUCUAGGGGAUCCAGAACGUGGAGGGAGUUCUCAGGCAGCGCCACUCGCUCCAGCCUGGUCCUCAACACCUCAAACUUGGGAUUGCUUGCUUUGGGGCGGUCUGGGCCGGGGAUGGGGGCAGGUGGAAAACAGUCUAAGGCAAUAGAUACUUUUUUUUUUUUUUGGUACUGGAGACUCAAUUCACGACCCUUAGCCACUGAGCCACAUACCCACCCCACCCCACCCCCUUUAAAAAAAUUAUUUUCUAGUUGUACACAAUAACUUUAUUUUGUUUAUUUAUUUUUAUGUCGUGGGAGGCCAACCUUACACGUGACUGAGUUACACUCCCCGACUGGGUGCUGAGGCGCUCAGUCACAGAAAUGUGGCACCCUUCUUGGAUGCGAGGGUCGGUGUCUUGUGCAUGGGUGUGUCUCGCUACAGCCCCAUGGGUGAAGCUAUGCUCACCUGUUCCUUUGUAAUAGAACCCCUUGCCCUGUUAAGGAUAGAAUCUUCCAUGGAAGUGCCUUGUGUGUGUCCCCUUCUCUUACUGUGCCCUUGGGUGUGGCCUACCCAGGUGUCAGUCAACCUACUGACAGUGGACAUCAUGAAGAUACUCAGCCCCCUGAAACCUGACCCCUUGCCUCAUUUGAAUAGCUUCUCCUCAAUAAAAGGGGUCAGCGCGUGCUCUCGCUCUCUCUCUUUCUGCGGACCCUUAAGGUCAGAGGAGCCGUCACAGCAACCCCAAAGAAAAAGGUA